Molecule: ribosomal RNA, 468 nt
Filed under: uncultured bacterium
Lineage: Bacteria
Description: partial 16S ribosomal RNA
Rfam family: Bacterial small subunit ribosomal RNA
Source: RNAcentral
GACGAACGCUGGCGGCGUGCUUAAUACAUGCAAGUCGAACGGUGAAGCUCCAGCUUGCUGGCGCGGAUCAGAGGCGAACGGGUGAGUAAAACGCGAGGAACAUGCACCUGUAACUGGAAUAAGAGUUGGAAACGGCGUAGAAAACUGGAUACGAGAAGUGUAAGCAUGGGCUUUUUCUGUAAAGUUCUUCGGUUCGGGAUGGGCUCGAUGCCUAUCCGCUUGUUGGUGAGGUAAUGGAUGACAAAGGCGACGAAGGGUAGCCGGCCUUAGAGGUCGACCGGCCACACUGGGACUGAGACACGGCCCAGAAUCCUACGUGAGGCAGCAGUGGGGAAUAUUGCGCAAUGGGCGAGAGCCAGAUGCAGCGACGCCGCGUUAGGGAUGACGUCCUUCGAGUUGUAAACCUCUUUCAGCAGGGAAGAAGCGAAAGUGACGGUACCUGCAGAGGAAGCACCGGCUAACUACGUG